CAGGAUGUGCAUGUCCCGCAGGGGAGGGAACGGAGCACAGACAGGUGGCAUCAUGCUGAGCGGUUGGGUGCGAUCCACAGACUCACACCUGUAGGGGAGGCGACACAUCACCUCUGUCCUCUUAGGGUCUCCUGGCAGGCCUGAGAAUUACGUUCACAGAAGACCGGCGACCAGGAGGAAAUAGUUCCGAACGUCUGGAUUCAUUUAAUAGUAAAUAAUGGCAUCACCUCCACCUGGAUGCUGGAGAAUUAAGUGAAUCGACGUGUACAAGCACUCUUUGCAGGGCCCACACAUGGUACGUGCUCGGCGAAUGUUAGCUGUUUCUCUGCUCAAAAUUCUGCAGAUGUUUGUGCUAUGAAUGAAGAAAGAAA
Long non-coding RNA from Prionailurus viverrinus (fishing cat), 371 nucleotides. RefSeq lists it as uncharacterized. The record is from RefSeq and is a predicted model, not a curated record. The transcript has 3 exons. Lineage: Eukaryota; Metazoa; Chordata; Mammalia; Carnivora; Felidae.